CUUUAUGCAAAAUGAUGGAUCCUUUUUGGAUCUAAAUACACACGGUUUGUCUGAACUAUUAAAAUAUAUAUUUAUAUCAUAAAUAAUGAAGGAAGCAAAUGGUACAGAAAACAUAGAGGUUUAUAGGUGGUUCUUUCUAAGACAAAUAGGUGUGUUGCCCACCCAGUAUUUCGCCCAGCUGGACAAAGUUGGUAACCUGGGACCACACAGUGGUAGCUGCCUACAGAGGUACCAAGGCUUUUAUUCCAUCAGCCCCUUUCCAGUUCUUCCUUCCAUGCUCAGAACCUGCCUUUUUCAGAGUGAGUUGCCAUCUGUGAGCAAUCUACAUUCCCAGCCUCAUCAUUAAUUUGUGUCAUUUCUUGAGAACAGCACUAUCAUGUACUAAGGUGAAAACAGCUUUCGAAACAUCCAGAUUUUGUUGUAAAACAGACAUCCAGCCUUUCAAAGAGCUCUGUGUCCAGAAGGCGCCAAGAAAUGCAUAGACAACCCAUCCCACUGUUUUGUUGUUUGGGUGGCAAAAGGAAGAUGCUUCUUGGAUGCUGAGUUUGCUGCGCUCAUGCAAAACAAUCAAUUGAUGGGAAGCAAAGCCCUCUUCGUGAUGGGUUGUUGGAGAAAGGGAACACAACCUGAUAACGUGGGACAAGGAAAAAGCCCUUCUGAGCAUGUCCCCGUGUUCAUCUGUCUGACAUGGGUACUGCUGGCUUUGAAGCCUCCUGCUAAAGAAAAUCAUGUAAGGCAGAGACAAAGGGUUGUGCCUCUGCUGUUGACAUGCAUCCAUAUGUGCCACAUGCCGCUUGUGCUGGCAUAAUUAAGUUAAUUUGACAAACUGCAUCGAGCAACAGGCACAGUUGUCUGGGAGCCCGUUUGCUCUGCACAGUGAAUGCUCCUCAAACCAUCAACAUGACAGAAGCGCUGUGUCUAAUUAACACUUUCUAAUACCUCAACAAAUAACAAACCUGCUGUUGGGAAAAAUAGUUUCACACUUCCUUAUCAAAUUAGGGCAAAAUCACUCCUAAUGAGCUAAAAUCAAUUAGAGCGGCACCCGAAAUGAAUGUAUUUAUGCUGUCAGAGCGAGCUAUUUGCAUAACAGUUUGCAAGGGCAGGGAAGGUGUGAUAGCUUUUUAGUGCUGCUAAUGAGGAGCUGCUGUGGAUAGGUGCUGCCAGAGAGAAAACUGUGUCUGCUGGGGUUGUGCGCUGGUGGCAGCUCAUGCAGCAUUGAGAGCUGG
This 1226-nucleotide long non-coding RNA is filed under the name Coturnix japonica (Japanese quail). RNAcentral describes it as "lncRNA (ENSCJPG00005020672.1)". Lineage: Eukaryota; Metazoa; Chordata; Aves; Galliformes; Phasianidae. The record is from RNAcentral.